This 74-nucleotide transfer RNA is filed under the name Jenufa minuta. Its description in RNAcentral is "tRNA-Ala". It matches the Rfam family "tRNA". From Rfam's summary of the family: Transfer RNA (tRNA) molecules are approximately 80 nucleotides in length. Their secondary structure includes four short double-helical elements and three loops (D, anti-codon, and T loops). Lineage: Eukaryota; Viridiplantae; Chlorophyta; Chlorophyceae. The record is from RNAcentral.
GGGAGUAUAGCUAAGCUGGCUACAGUAUUUGCUUUGCAAGCAGAAGAUCAUUGGUUCAAAUCCAAUUACUUCCA